This is a long non-coding RNA of Oreochromis niloticus (Nile tilapia), 1341 nucleotides long. RefSeq annotates it as phosphorylase b kinase gamma catalytic chain, skeletal muscle/heart isoform. NCBI's taxonomy places the organism in Eukaryota, Metazoa, Chordata, Actinopteri, Cichliformes, Cichlidae. The record is from RefSeq and is a predicted model, not a curated record. The transcript has 7 exons.
CGGCAGAUAUCCAAAUUUAUGAUAUCGGUAUCGGACAUAAAAAAAGUGGUAUCGUGCCAUCUCUAGCAAAAAGCCUUAAAGUAGAGCUGUGUUUAGUGAAAAUGCUGCUGUUUUGAAUGCAUGUUCUGCCUGCAGCCUGAGGUCAGCUGCAAAAGGAGACACUUCUGUACUAUUAGCCUUGAGCUGGAAACAUGACCAAGGAGGAGGAGAUCCCUGACUGGGUGGGAGCCAAAGAGUUCUACGACAAGUAUGAGCCCAAGGAGAUUCUGGGAAGGGGAGUGAGCAGCGUGGUGCGCCGCUGCGUCGACAAGCGGACCUCUCAGGAGUACGCGGUGAAGAUCAUCGACAUCACCCCCUCCGACAAGAUGACGGCACAGGAGAUCGAAGAGAUCAGAGAGGCGACGGUGAAGGAGAUCGACAUCCUCAAGAAAGUCUACGGACAGGAGAACAUCAUUCAGCUCAAAGACUGCUAUGAGUCCAAGGCCUUCUUCUUCCUGGUUUUUGACCUAAUGAAGAGGGGUGAACUUUUUGACUACCUCACAGAAAAAGUUACACUGAGCGAGAAGGAAACGCGGAAGAUCAUGCGGUCUCUAUUGGAGGUGGUCCAGUUUCUCCACACCCACAACAUUGUUCAUCGGGACCUGAAGCCCGAGAACAUCCUUUUAGAUGACUACAUGAACAUCAAACUCACUGACUUUGGUUUCGCUGUGCAGAUUCAGCCAGGACAGACGCUCAAAGGAGCGCAGUGCUGCGCUGGUUUCGGCACCUAAUCUUGCGUCCCUCAUUGGCUCCUCCCAAGUGUCUCCAUCUCUGCUGCUCGCUGCCAGAGAGGAUCAGUCCUUCAUUGACCCGGUCAAAGCUGGAACAAGCACCUCUGUUUACAAGACGUUGAUGGGCAGUGUGCCAGACAGAGGAGGACGACCUGGGGAAAUUGAGCCUCCUAUGCCAGCAUGGACAGGGAGACGCUCGAAAGGCAGCAGAGGGGGAUGGGGAGGCGGACAAUCUCAUAAGCAUAAGAAGAAGAAAGGGAAAAAAGAUUAACUUGUCCAUCUUUUUGGCCUUACUCAUCAAUUUAAGAAAUAAGUGAUCAUUUUGCUUUAUUGAAAUCCUUGUUGCGAGGUAAACUACGAUUGGGAAGUGCUGUAUAUAAUUUUGUAGUUAUAAAUCUGUGUAUAAUUUAUAGUUAUAAGUCAUGCACAUACCAGAUUGUGUACAUUUCUAUAAAAGCAAUGAAGUACUGGUACAUGACCAGAUAUUUUGGUAAAAGAGCAGAAAAUGGAAAAAAUGUUGGCUUUCCACAUUUAUCAGUAGGUUUGUUUAAGAAUAAACCUCUGAAACACA